Molecule: ribosomal RNA, 1343 nt
Filed under: uncultured bacterium
Lineage: Bacteria
Description: 16S ribosomal RNA
Rfam family: Bacterial small subunit ribosomal RNA
Source: RNAcentral
GACGAACGCUGGCGGCGUGCUUAACACAUGCAAGUCGAACGGAAAGGCCCUGCUUUUGUGGGGUGCUCGAGUGGCGAACGGGUGAGUAACACGUGAGUAACCUGCCCUUGACUUUGGGAUAACUUCAGGAAACUGGGGCUAAUACCGGAUAGGAGCUCCUGCUGCAUGGUGGGGGUUGGAAAGUUUCGGCGGUUGGGGAUGGACUCGCGGCUUAUCAGCUUGUUGGUGGGGUAGUGGCUUACCAAGGCUUUGACGGGUAGCCGGCCUGAGAGGGUGACCGGCCACAUUGGGACUGAGAUACGGCCCAGACUCCUACGGGAGGCAGCAGUGGGGAAUAUUGCACAAUGGGCGGAAGCCUGAUGCAGCAACGCCGCGUGCGGGAUGACGGCCUUCGGGUUGUAAACCGCUUUCGCCUGUGACGAAGCGUGAGUGACGGUAAUGGGUAAAGAAGCACCGGCUAACUACGUGCCAGCAGCCGCGGUGAUACGUAGGGUGCGAGCGUUGUCCGGAUUUAUUGGGCGUAAAGGGCUCGUAGGUGGUUGAUCGCGUCGGAAGUGUAAUCUUGGGGCUUAACCCUGAGCGUGCUUUCGAUACGGGUUGACUUGAGGAAGGUAGGGGAGAAUGGAAUUCCUGGUGGAGCGGUGGAAUGCGCAGAUAUCAGGAGGAACACCAGUGGCGAAGGUGGUUCUCUGGGCCUUUCCUGACGCUGAGGAGCGAAAGCGUGGGGAGCGAACAGGCUUAGAUACCCUGGUAGUCCACGCUGUAAACGGUGGGUACUAGGUGUGGGGUCCAUUCCACGGGUUCCGUGCCGUAGCUAACGCUUUAAGUACCCCGCCUGGGGAGUACGGCCGCAAGGCUAAAACACAAAGGGAUUGACGGGGCCCCGCACAAGCGGCGGAGCAUGCGGAUUAAUUCGAUGCAACGCGUAGAACCUUACCUGGGUUUGACAUGGAUCGGGAGUGCUCAGAGAUGGGUGUGCCUCUUUUGGGGUCGGUUCACAGGUGGUGCAUGGCUGUCGUCAGCUCGUGUCGUGAGAUGUUGGGUUAAGUCCCGCAACGAGCGCAACCCUUGUUCACUGUUGCCAGCACGUUAUGGUGGGGACUCAGUGGAGACCGCCGGGGUCAACUCGGAGGAAGGUGGGGAUGACGUCAAGUCAUCAUGCCCCUUACGUCCAGGGCUUCACGCAUGCUACAAUGGCUGGUACAGAGAGUGGCGAGCCUGUGAGGGUGAGCGAAUCUCGGAAAGCCGGUCUCAGUUCGGAUUGGGGUCUGCAACUCGACCUCAUGAAGUCGGAGUCGCUAGUAAUCGCAGAUCAGCAACGCUGCGGUGAAUACGUUCCCGGG